This 692-nucleotide ribosomal RNA is filed under the name Acidovorax defluvii. Its description in RNAcentral is "bacterial SSU rRNA". It matches the Rfam family "Bacterial small subunit ribosomal RNA", at positions 85 to 773 of the family's 1533-position model. The record is from RNAcentral. Lineage: Bacteria; Pseudomonadati; Pseudomonadota; Betaproteobacteria; Burkholderiales; Comamonadaceae.
AUGCUGACGAGUGGCGAACGGGUGAGUAAUACAUCGGAACGUGCCCGAUCGUGGGGGAUAACGGAGCGAAAGCUUUGCUAAUACCGCAUACGAUCUACGGAUGAAAGCAGGGGACCGCAAGGCCUUGCGCGGACGGAGCGGCCGAUGGCAGAUUAGGUAGUUGGUGGGAUAAAAGCUUACCAAGCCGACGAUCUGUAGCUGGUCUGAGAGGACGACCAGCCACACUGGGACUGAGACACGGCCCAGACUCCUACGGGAGGCAGCAGUGGGGAAUUUUGGACAAUGGGCGAAAGCCUGAUCCAGCCAUGCCGCGUGCAGGAUGAAGGCCUUCGGGUUGUAAACUGCUUUUGUACGGAACGAAAAGACUUCUUCUAAUACAGGAGGUCCAUGACGGUACCGUAAGAAUAAGCACCGGCUAACUACGUGCCAGCAGCCGCGGUAAUACGUAGGGUGCAAGCGUUAAUCGGAAUUACUGGGCGUAAAGCGUGCGCAGGCGGUUAUAUAAGACAGAUGUGAAAUCCCCGGGCUCAACCUGGGAACUGCAUUUGUGACUGUAUAGCUAGAGUACGGUAGAGGGGGAUGGAAUUCCGCGUGUAGCAGUGAAAUGCGUAGAUAUGCGGAGGAACACCGAUGGCGAAGGCAAUCCCCUGGACCUGUACUGACGCUCAUGCACGAAAGCGUGGGGAGCAAAC